GGAUAGUGUAAUCCACAUUGCCUAGUUUGGUUGUAGGAUAGGGUUUCCAAUUCGAAAUAAUCGUUACAAAGUUUCCAUCAUGUCCGGCAGCUACUGCGGAAGCCGGCAGAGGCAUAUUUUUCAAACCACCACCUCUUACCACUUCCUUCGCUUAUUUCAAUAUGGAUUGACUCGUCUGCAUUCCGUCUCAUAGCCGCAAGAGAGACAAGGUUUGCCCAAGGCAAUCUUGUUGACUGUUGAGGACCCAAGAACUUGAAAAUGAAUACUGCUGAAACACUUGUUGAUGAUGUUAUAAUUGUCGUUUUCUAUUGAUACUAUUUAAAUGUGUUGGAAUUUUUAUUGUCAUAAAUAAAAAUAUUUCUCAAUGUUACAA
Molecule: long non-coding RNA, 373 nt
Organism: Ostrea edulis (European flat oyster)
Lineage: Eukaryota; Metazoa; Mollusca; Bivalvia; Ostreida; Ostreidae
Exons: 2
Source: RefSeq, a predicted model, not a curated record